GAUGAAGAACGUAGCGAAAUGCGAUAAGUAAUGUGAAUUGCAGAAUUCAGUGAAUCAUCGAAUCUUUGAACGCACAUUGCGCCCGCCAGUAUUCUGGCGGGCAUGCCUGUUCGAGCGUCAUUUCAACCAUCAAGCCCCAGGCUUGUGUUGGGGACCUGCGGCUGCCGCAGGCCCUGAAAACCAGUGGCGGGCUCGCUGUCACACCGGGCGUAGUAGAUUUUAUCUCGCCCAGGGCGUGCUGCGGGUUCCGGCCGUUAAAAAGCCUUUUUUACCCAAGGUUGACCUCGGAUCAGGUAGGAAGACCCGCUGAACUUAAGCAUAUCAAUAAGCGGAGGA
This 336-nucleotide unclassified non-coding RNA is filed under the name soil metagenome. RNAcentral's name for it is "partial contains 5.8S ribosomal RNA, internal transcribed spacer 2, and large subunit ribosomal RNA". The stretch from base 1 to 120 matches the Rfam family "5.8S ribosomal RNA", at positions 35 to 154 of the family's 154-position model. The record is from RNAcentral.